Molecule: ribosomal RNA, 1035 nt
Filed under: Minisyncoccota bacterium
Lineage: Bacteria; Bacillati; Minisyncoccota
Description: bacterial LSU rRNA
Rfam family: Bacterial large subunit ribosomal RNA
Source: RNAcentral
CCGAAAUAUAUUUAGGUAUAGGCUCAUGAUUAGGCUGAUGGGGGUAGAGUACUGGAUGAAUUUUUUGGUCGCAAGAUCAAAAAUUUAACCAAACUCCGAAUACCGUCAGUUCGUGCAUGGGACUCAGUAUGGCGGAGCUAAGUUCGCCAGGCGAGAGGGAAACAUCCCAGACUUUCGUCUAAGGUCUCUAAAUAUUCCUCAGUGGGAAAGAUAGUCUUGGUCCCCAAACACCUAGGAGGUCGGCUCAGAAGCAGCCAUCCUUGAAAGAAAGCGUAACAGCUCACUAGCCGAGGAUCAGGGCGUCGAAAACGUAUCGAGGCUUAAGGAAUAUACCGAAGACAAAGAUUUAUAUAUUUUCGUAAGAAAUUAUGUGAGUGGUAGGGGAGCGUUCCGGGUGCUGUGAAGGCGGCGAGAAAUCGAUCUGCUGGAGCGACCGGAAGUGCGAAUGCCGGUAUGAGUAGCGUACAUGAAGUGAGAAUCUUCAUCUCCGAAUGUUCAAGGUUUCCGCACCCACGUUUGUCGUGUGCGGGUAAGGCGACCCUUAGGCGAGGCCGAAUGGCGUAGCUGAUGGAUAACCAGUUGAUAUUCUGGUCCUUGAUAACAAUCGUUAUGACUUGGGGAGGGACGGAUUUGGAUACUGCGUGCGCUCUGUCGAAGAUAGAGCCGCACAAGCAACGAGAUAAUGUCUGUUGGCAAACCCGCAGAUAUGUUUAAUCGAAUUGUGAUGUGGAGUCUGUUCCGCAAGGAACGGGCAAGACGCAGGACUUCAGGUUCCUAGAAAAGCUUCGCAAGCAGAGUGUUAUUAAAUCGUACCGAUAACCGACACAGGUGAACUGGCCGAGAAGGCUAAGGAGAACGAGAGACAAUGGUUUAAGGAAUUCGGCAAAACAGCUGGGCGUACCCUUGGUAUAUGCCCUUCUCUCCGCAAGGAGAGGCGCAGCGAAAGACUGGAGACUGACUGUUUAACAAAAACACAGGUCCGUGCAAACUCGAAAGAGGACGUAUACGGGCUGAAACCUGCCCAGUGCCGGAAGG